GUAGGUGAACCUGCGGAAGGAUCAUUAAUGAAACUUCAAAGUCGGCUUGUCUAUCUGUGCUGGUGGAGACACAUGUGCACGUUGGCAGGUCGCAAAUCCCCACACCUGUGAACCUAUGACUCUGAGUACCGCUUUGCAUGGCCCUCAUCGGCCUGGUACUCGAGUACUUUACACACUCUGAAUGUAAUGGAAUGUCUUUUUGUACAAUGUACAACUAAAACAACUUUCAACAACGGAUCUCUUGGUUCUG
Molecule: unclassified non-coding RNA, 250 nt
Filed under: rhizosphere metagenome
Description: partial ribosomal RNA internal transcribed spacer region
Source: RNAcentral